This 254-nucleotide ribosomal RNA is filed under the name uncultured bacterium. RNAcentral describes it as "partial 16S ribosomal RNA". It matches the Rfam family "Bacterial small subunit ribosomal RNA", at positions 524 to 776 of the family's 1533-position model. The record is from RNAcentral.
CCCGUAGGGGGCGAGCGUUGUCCGGAUUUAUUGGGCGUAAAGAGCUCGUAGGCGGCUCGGUAAGUCAGGUGUGAAACCUCCAGGCUCAACCUGGAGACGCCACCUGAUACUGCCGUGGCUAGAGUCCGGUAGAGGAGCGUAGAAUUCCUGGUGUAGCGGUGAAAUGCGCAGAUAUCAGGAGGAACACCGGUGGCGAAGGCGGGUCUCUGGGCCGAUACUGACGCUGAGGAGCGAAAGCGUGGGGAGCAAACAGG